Molecule: long non-coding RNA, 2222 nt
Organism: Magallana angulata
Lineage: Eukaryota; Metazoa; Mollusca; Bivalvia; Ostreida; Ostreidae
Exons: 4
Source: RefSeq, a predicted model, not a curated record
AUUGUAUUAUUUUAUCUUUAUUAGGGAGACCAGUAGAUUAGGGAGACAUAUUUUGGUCUCCGUAUUAUUUUGACCUUGUCUAAAAUGUAAUUGGCUUAUCUUUAAAUGAACGAACGGUGUGUCUUUGCCUAAAAUGCAUCAAUGUGUCUAUUAUUUGACAUCCAAUAGUUGCCUUUUGUCUAUAUUUUUUCGUAAAAAGGAAUUCAAUCUGCCUCCAUCGUAUAAUUAGCAAUGACUAUUUUUCUGCAUUUAGGAGACCAACGAAAACUUGCAAUAUUGCAAAAAAUCUAACAUAUAUAAUUUGUUUAGCCUUUAAUUAUUCUAAAUGAACUUGUUUUCAAAAUACGUUUUCACUUUUUAUGUAUAAAGCCUAACUAGAAAAAAAGUCGUUAAUUUCUUGACCAUGUUUGAACAUUUGGCAAGUGCUCUCCGCCAUUUGUUCCGAGUACUCUCGGAACGUCUCGGGUUAAAAUAAUGGACCUUUUAACGCCAGCGUGUUGCCUUUUAGGAAUCAAAGCCAUUUUAUGGUAAGUACUUUUGAUAAUCCUACUACAAUUGAACAAAGUAAUGUUUUUAUGAAGUUUUUUUUUAAAUAUUCAAAUAAAAUAGGGCGAUAAUGUGUGCAACUUGACUAUUUUACACCAAAUGUUGAUUAAUCUUCGAGGACAUUCGAAACGAAGUUAACAAUAAAAGCAUGAUUUUCAUUUCCACUGUACGUUUGAUGUAAUAUGUAAUUCAAGGAUUUAUCAGUACCUUCUCCAGAGCAAAAGUCGUCCCCAUUCCCAAUUGGAAAUAAGUUCACUUCAGCAGCUGUCCAAAUUAUGAUCCCAAUUUAAUUAGUAUAGCAGUAUUUUUCCCCAACUGGUAAAUAGUUCUUAUGUUUAUUUCUUAUCAAAAAAUACUUCGUAAAAUAACCAGAAUGUCCAUAAAUGUUCAGUAUUAACAAAUGAUUAAACCCAUUUAGCAAAACUGCAGUCAUAAAAGUUUCAAAACAUGCUGUAAACAUCGCCAACUUUUAAUCCGAUUUUCCUCUGUUUUUCUAAAACAUCGUUAUUUUGUGGUAUACAGUACAGUACUGUAAAUGGUACAUGUUUUUUUUUUACACACACUAGACUGAUAUAAAAGUAAAAGGUAAAUGUUAUGAAAUAUUUCAAACAGAAAAAUACAUUCUCAAUUUAAAAGGGGAUGUUGAUAAAUUCUUAAUAAUGUAAUACUUUUAUGACCAGUGUUGAAGGUGUUUAUUUCAGGGAAAAAGACUUGUUCUAAUAACUAAAUAUAGGAAUAUUAUACAUAUAUCUAUAUUGUGAAGUUAAUUAGAUUCUAUUCAAUUAAAGUCUAGCUCUUUGAUUUUCCAUUAUGAUAAUAAAUUCAGAAAUCAUGAUGUAUGCAACAUAUGAUUUCUCCCAACUGCAUGAAAUUGUCGAUACAAUUUUCCCAAUUCCAAAAAAAUUGGCAUUUUCAAAAUAAAAAAGGCUGAAAAAUCCCUGUAAUUAUAUAGCUAGUUUAUUGAAAAUGGACAGAAAAGUUAACCGAAGAAUGUCGCUUUAUGUAAAUAGAUCGACAUGAAGAAUUUUCUAUAUUACAGUUAUAUGUACCAGUAAUAUUGUUUUAAAUUAAUUAUGUACGUAAUGUAGAUAUAUGUACAUGUACCCCUUGUUACCUAAAUGAAUUAAAAGCAAAUUAAGAUCAGUUGCUCUUUUUCACUUGUAUAGUGGAAAGAUAGCCGACUAUUCUAUGUACGAAUUGACUUAUUAUAGGUAAGAUAGUCAGGCCUCCAUGUUUACAACCGGGAUGCUCACCCCACAUUUACAGUUGUGACCCACAUUUACAAAUGUGACAUCAUAGUAUCACUCUCGUUUGGCUUUUCGGAUAUUAUCAGUAUUGAUGCUGUCAGGAGUGAACAACCAUACAUGUAUCUGCCAGUUUGUAAAUGAUGGCAAGGACGAUGCAAACUCCACCAUAAACUCAGAGUGUUUAAUGGAAGGGAAUACCUAUGAUUGUUUGCUAAGAGAGACAUUGUGGUUGGGGAAGAGAUACUUCAUGUAUAUGACUAUGGUUGUGAUGGGAAAAGCUUGCGGUGGCGCAGCAAGAGUCCACCCCAAAUUCAUUGAGAGCUAGCCGCAACACAAUGGAAAAACAGGGCAUCUUGACCCUCAGAGAAAACAGUGAGCAUUUUGAAGCAGCAUUGAUUUCGGAUAAAGUAGGACCGAGUGACGGAAACG